Molecule: RNA transcript, 3597 nt
Organism: Carassius carassius (crucian carp)
Lineage: Eukaryota; Metazoa; Chordata; Actinopteri; Cypriniformes; Cyprinidae
Gene name: protocadherin alpha-C2-like
Exons: 3
Source: RefSeq, a predicted model, not a curated record
CAUUAAAAUUUUAAGUUCAGUAUUUAUUUUUCAAAAUAACGUAGUGAUCUGUUAUUGCAUUUCGAUUGUGUUCUCAUUUCUUUAAUUGACACAUUUCCGCUCUGAUCAUGAAAAUUUGUUACGAAUGUUAUUUUGAAUUUAUUUUAUAUAUUUGUGGUAAUUCUUCAAAACAUACGCAACGGGUCGCUGUGCCCCAACAAAAACGAGGAUUUAAAUUUAUUUAUUUAUUUUGUAGUCGCCAUGACAGUUCAUGCUCACCAGCGAGUCUUUGGAAAAGCGUGUGGGGAUACGAGUGCUUCUCUGCUGGCUUUCUGCAUUGACUUACACUGUGACACUUCUGUAGAAGGCAGGCUGAUACUAAGCCAAUAUUGGAAUCUGCUGAAUGCAUUGCAUUUGCGAUCAUCAUUGUUAAGGACAGGUGUUUUUUGGGCUCGCAAAGACGACAAAGCUGAGCAGACAAAAUGGAUGCGCAGCCUACAGUGAAGUACGUCGCAACAUUACUUCUGCUCUCGGCACUGGUUUACACGGCGUCAUCUGUCACCCAUUAUUCUAUUCCGGAGGAGAUGGAGGUAGGCUCUGUGGUUGCGAAUUUGGCUGCAGAUCUAGGAAUCGAUGUGCAAACGUUAGGAAGACGAAAAAUCAGGUUAGAUAUCCUUGCAAGUAAGAAAUACCUGGAUGUGAACAAAGAAAGCGGAGAUCUGUUUAUUUUGGAGCGCAUUGACAGAGAGUAUCUUUGCACAUCAAAAACAGUUUGUUAUUUAAAAAUGGAAGUCAUUCUUGAGAACCCUGUUCGUAUAUUUAACAUUGAAUUGGAAAUAAUGGACAUUAACGACAAUGCGCCUUACUUCCGUAGGGAUACGAUUAAUUUGGACGUCUCUGAAUCUACUGCUGUUGGCGAGAGGUUUUCUCUAAGUAAUGCAGUUGACCCUGAUAUUGGUUCAAAUUCUAUUAAAAGUUAUCAUUUGAGUGAGAGUGCAAACUUUGAUAUUGAAAUACAGACAGGGAGGGAUGGUUCAAAAUUUGCUGAUUUAAUAUUGAAAAAAGCUUUAGAUCGCGAGGAGCAGGCCGUUCAUAAUCUGAUACUCACUGCUGUGGAUGGAGGAGUCCCCGCGCGCUCUGGCACUGCUAGUAUUAUUGUGCGCGUUCUGGACACUAAUGACAACGCCCCACAAUUCGAUAAAGACAGUUAUACAAUACAUCUAACAGAAAACGCACCAAUUGGAAGCCUUGUCGUGAAAUUAAACGCUACAGAUAGAGAUGAAGGGUCCAAUUCAGAUAUCACAUAUUCUUUUAGUCUGUAUACAUCUGAGAAAACACAGACAACAUUUGAAUUAAAGCCUGACAGUGGUGAAAUCAGAGUAAAGGAGAUGAUUAAUUAUGAGGAUUUCCGGAUCUAUGAUAUGGAAAUUAUAGCAACAGAUAAAGGAGCUAAUAGUCUCUCUGGGAAAUGUAAAGUAAAGAUUUUAGUCACAGAUAUGAAUGAUAACCAUCCUGAAAUUUCUAUAAAAUCAUUCACAAGUCCUGUUAAAGAGGAUAUAGCUGUAAAUACAGUAAUUGCAGUUGUUAGUGUGAGUGAUAAAGACUCAGGAGAAAAUGGACAGAUAGAUAUUCAUAUUUCUGAUGAUUUACCUUUUGCGCUCAAAGAAUCGUCUGAUAAUUAUUAUGAAUUAUUAGUUUCAGAACCGUUAGACCGUGAAAAGGUUCCAGAAUAUGACAUCACUAUUACCGUGACUGACAGGGGCAACCUGCCGUUAUCUGAUAAUGAAACUAUAACUUUAGAGCUGCUGGACAUUAACGACAAUGUUCCUCAGUUCCCGCAGACCUUUUACACGAUACCUGUUAUGGAGAAUAACGCGCCUGGAGCUUUACUGAGCUCUUUAACUGCUAUAGACCCAGAUCUCCAUGAAAAUCAGUAUCUAGUUUACUUUAUCAUAGAGAAGGAAAUAGUGAACACCUCCAUGUCCAUGCUGUUUUCCAUUAACCCAGAGAACGGCAAUCUUUACGCGCUAAAGACGUUUGACUAUGAGAUAGAGAAGGAGUUUCUUUUCCACAUCGAGGCCAGAGACUCUGGUGUUCCUCCGCUCAGCAGUAACGUGACCGUUCACAUUAUUAUCAUGGAUCAGAACGACAACACGCCACUUAUAGUGUCUCCAUGGCGCGCGCACGGCUCGGUGGUGGAGGAAAAAAUCCCGAGAUCCACCGAUAAAGGGACUCUGAUAGCCAAAGUCAUCGCCAUAGACUCUGAUUCAGUGCACAACUCUCGAAUCACGUACCAGUUUCUCCACAACACUGACGCCACAUUAUUCAGCUUGGAUCAAUAUAACGGAGAGAUCCGGACCAUGAGAAUGUUCAGUUACAGAGACUCGCGCCACCAGCAGCUGGUUGUGAUCGCCAAGGACAACGGAGAGCCCGCGCUCUCUGCUACAGUCACCAUCAAACUGUCCACGGUGGAGACCGCCCUUAAAACCUAUGCUGACAUGACUGAGGUGCCUUUGGGAUAUGACAUCUUCUCCGAUUUAAACCUGUAUCUGGUGAUCGGACUGGGCUCCGUUUCAUUUCUUUUACUCAUCACUAUAUUGGUCACCAUCGUGCUGAAGUGUCAGAAAACGAAGCCCAGCAAAGCGGCUCCUCCGUGCAGGAACAGUGUGAUCAGCGAGAGAAACUCGACCAUCGCGGAUUCCACUCUGGUCUCCAACGAUGCCUACUGGUACAGUUUAUUUCUAGCAGAGACCAGGAAAGGAAAGCUGGUGGUCAGACAGCCUGUGCCAAAGGGAGCAAGAUAUGUCGUGUCCAGUUUACCAAGGAGCACAGGACUGACCGAGACCAGCGACUCGGCUGCUUCUACUCUACAGUACUCAAAAUGAACGAGGUCCCCUUUCCCGCUGGAGGUAUGCAGUCCUGACUACACCAUUCUCUCGAUUUCUGGAGCGCCUGGUCCCAGGGCCCAUUGACCUUUACUGAAAUAUAUGUGACUGCUUCCACCACCACCAGCAGCAGUUCCACCUGAGGAUCCUCCCAACCAUAUUGCCAGAGCAGAGUAUUGAAAACAUUCCAUCAGCCUGCAUGUCUGUCCACCUGUAUCCAUCAUAUUCCCCUGCACCAUCUUGCAGAGAUGAAAUCAACCCUGAACGAUCUCUACAUCUUCACAUCAGUGUUCGGAAAGUUUGCCCAGGACUGACCAGAGGAUUGACGAAGAUCUUUUGCUUCUGAUAUUAAGAGAUACUCUUAAAUCUGACCGCUCAAGAUUGGACUUGGACUGGAUCUGUGAGGACACACACACACACACACACACAAACACACACACACACACACACACACACACACACACACACACACACACACACACACACACACACACACACACACACACACACAUAUGCAUAUCUUCAAACAGCACAGCUUAUGUCUUUAUCAAAGAAACUGUUCUGCAAAAACAGUAUGCUUGUGUUUGCAUGCUUAGAGUUACACGUUAUUUUCGUUAUAUUUAGGGACUGUUAAAGACAUUGGGGAGAGAAACUAUUAACAGAAUAUUCUGAAUUUGUGUGGACACUGAAUUGCAAAAAAACAAAAAACUAAAUCUUAAUCAGUAGAUACUAA